AGAAUAUGUGUGCGAGUCAAUGGGUGAAUAAAUCCACACGGGAUUCCUUCGUGGGUUGCACCGCCGACCGACCUUGAUCUUCUGAGAAGAGUUCGAGUGAGAGCAUGCCUGUCGGGACCUAAAAGAUGGUGAACUAUGCCUGAGCGGGGCGAAGCCAGAGGAAACUCUGGUAGAGGCCCGCAGCGAUACCGAUAUGCAAUCAUUCGCUAACUUGGGAAUAGGGGCGAAAGACUAAUCGAACUGUAUAGUUACUGG
This 255-nucleotide non-coding RNA is filed under the name Morus notabilis. Its description in RNAcentral is "Eukaryotic large subunit ribosomal RNA". It matches the Rfam family "Eukaryotic large subunit ribosomal RNA", at positions 693 to 954 of the family's 3401-position model. The record is from Rfam by way of RNAcentral. Lineage: Eukaryota; Viridiplantae; Streptophyta; Magnoliopsida; Rosales; Moraceae.